RNAcentral lists this ribosomal RNA (626 nucleotides) under uncultured fungus. Its description in RNAcentral is "eukaryotic LSU rRNA". It matches the Rfam family "Eukaryotic large subunit ribosomal RNA", at positions 24 to 664 of the family's 3401-position model. The record is from RNAcentral. Lineage: Eukaryota; Fungi.
CCCGCUGAACUUAAGCAUAUCAAUAAGCGGAGAAAAAGAAACCAACAGGGAUUGCCUUAGUAACGGCGAGUGAAGCGGCAAUAGCUCAAAUUUGAAAUCUGGCGCCUUUGGGUGUCCGAGUUGUAAUUUGUAGAGGAUGUUUCGGUAUUGGCUCCGUCUAAAGUCCCUUGGAACAGGGUGUCGUAGAGGGUGAGAAUCCCGUAUGCGAUCGGCCGCCUUUGCCAUGUGAAACUCCUUCGACGAGUCGAGUUGUUUGGGAAUGCAGCUCUAAUUGGGAGGUAAAUUUCUUCUAAAGCUAAAUACUGGCCAGAGACCGAUAGCGCACAAGUAGAGUGAUCGAAAGAUGAAAAGCACUUUGGAAAGAGAGUUAAAAAGUACGUGAAAUUGUUGAAAGGGAAGCGCUUGCAAUCAGACCUGCUUGCAGUUGUUCAUCUAGGCUUUUGCCUAGUGCAUUCUUCUGUAAGUAGGCCAGUAUCGGUUUGGGCGGUUGGAUAAAGAAUUCAGGAAUGUAGCUCCUCUCGGGGAGUGUUAUAGCCUGUUUUGUAAUGCAGCCAGCCCAGAUCGAGGACCGCGCUUCGGCUAGGAUACUGGCGUAAUGGUUGUAAGCGGCCCGUCUUGAAACACGG